UACGAGAGGUCAAAACGUUAUUCGGAAUCACUGGGCUUACAGAGUUCGUAGGCGGUCCAGAAAGUGGGGUGUGAAAGCCCUCGGCUUAACCGAGGAACUGCGCUCCAAACUACUGGGCUAGAGGAAGAUAGAGGUGAGCAGAACUGAUGGUGGAGCGGUGAAAUGCGUUGAUAUCAUCAGGAAUACCGGAGGCGAAGGCGGCUCACUGGGUCUUUUCUGACGCUGAGGAACGAAAGCUAGGGGAGCAAACGGG
Molecule: ribosomal RNA, 253 nt
Filed under: uncultured bacterium
Lineage: Bacteria
Description: partial 16S ribosomal RNA
Rfam family: Bacterial small subunit ribosomal RNA
Source: RNAcentral